ACGAACGCUGGCGGCGUGCUUCACCCCUGCCAGUCGAACGGAAAGGCCCUGCUUUUGUGGGGUGCUCGAGUGGCGAACGGGUGAGUAACACGUGAGUAACCUGCCCUUGACUUUGGAUAACUUCAGGAAACUGGGGCUAAUACCGGAUAGGAGCUCCUGCUGCAUGGUGGGGGUUGGAAAGUUUCGGCGGUUGGGGAUGGACUCGCGGCUUAUCAGCUUGUUGGUGGGGUAGUGGCUUACCAAGGCUUUGACGGGUAGCCGGCCUGAGAGGGUGACCGGCCACAUUGGGACUGAGAUACGGCCCAGACUCCUACGGGAGGCAGCAGUGGGGAAUAUUGCACAAUGGGCGGAAGCCUGAUGCAGCAACGCCGCGUGCGGGAUGACGGCCUUCGGGUUGUAAACCGCUUUCGCCUGUGACGAAGCGUGAGUGACGGUAAUGGGUAAAGAAGCACCGGCUAACUACGUG
Molecule: ribosomal RNA, 466 nt
Filed under: uncultured bacterium
Lineage: Bacteria
Description: partial 16S ribosomal RNA
Rfam family: Bacterial small subunit ribosomal RNA
Source: RNAcentral